Molecule: transfer RNA, 80 nt
Filed under: Marmota monax (woodchuck)
Lineage: Eukaryota; Metazoa; Chordata; Mammalia; Rodentia; Sciuridae
Description: tRNA.Ala
Source: RNAcentral
GGGGUUGUGGCUCAGCGGUAGAGCGCUCGCCUAGCUCGCCUAGCACGUGGGAGGCCCUGGAUUCGAUCCUCAGCACCACA